GAUGAACGCUGGCGGCGUGCCUAAUACAUGCAAGUCGAGCGAACAGAUGAGGAGCUUGCUCCUCUGACGUUAGCGGCGGACGGGUGAGUAACACGUGGAUAACCUACCUAUAAGACUGGGAUAAAUUCGGGAAACCGGAGCUAAUACCGGAUAAUAUAUUGAACCGCAUGGUUCAAUAGUGAAAGACGGUUUUGCUGUCACUUAUAGAUGGAUCCGCGCCGCAUUAGCUAGUUGGUAAGGUAACGGCUUACCAAGGAAACGAUGCGUAGCCGACCUGAGAGGAUGAUCGGCCACACUGGAACUGAGACACGGUCCAGACUCCUACGGGAGGCAGCAGUAGGGAAUCUUCCGCAAUGGGCGAAAGCCUGACGGAGCAACGCCGCGUGAGUGAUGAAGGUCUUCGGAUCGUAAAACUCUGUUAUUAGGGAAGAACAAAUGUGUAAGUAACUAUGCACGUCUUGACGGUACCUAAUCAGAAAGCCACGGCUAACUACGUG
RNAcentral lists this ribosomal RNA (497 nucleotides) under uncultured bacterium. RNAcentral describes it as "partial 16S ribosomal RNA". It matches the Rfam family "Bacterial small subunit ribosomal RNA", at positions 28 to 507 of the family's 1533-position model. The record is from RNAcentral.